Molecule: vault RNA, 97 nt
Filed under: Clytia hemisphaerica
Lineage: Eukaryota; Metazoa; Cnidaria; Hydrozoa; Leptothecata; Clytiidae
Rfam family: Vault RNA
About the family: This family of RNAs are found as part of the enigmatic vault ribonucleoprotein complex. The complex consists of a major vault protein (MVP), two minor vault proteins (VPARP and TEP1), and several small untranslated RNA molecules.
Source: Rfam by way of RNAcentral
GUGCAGGUUUAGUCUAAAGGUUCCUUCGUUCUAUUAUGAUAUUAUUGCUCUCUGAGUGUGAGUUCAAACCAGACCUUGGACGCAGUCCUGCACUUUU